Molecule: ribosomal RNA, 253 nt
Filed under: uncultured bacterium
Lineage: Bacteria
Description: partial 16S ribosomal RNA
Rfam family: Bacterial small subunit ribosomal RNA
Source: RNAcentral
UACGGAGGGUGCGAGCGUUAAUCGGAAUUACUGGGCGUAAAGCGUGCGUAGGUGGUUUAUUAAGUCGGAUGUGAAAUCCCCGGGCUCAACCUGGGUGCUGCAUUCGAUACUGGUAGACUUGAAUACGGUAGAGGGGGGUGGAAUUCCAGGUGUAGCGGUGAAAUGCGUAGAGAUCUGGAGGAACACCAGUGGCGAAGGCGGCCCCCUGGACCGAUAUUGACGCUGAGGCACGAAAGCGUGGGGAGCAAACAGG